This 497-nucleotide long non-coding RNA is filed under the name Olea europaea (common olive). RNAcentral's name for it is "long non-coding RNA (OEUR_LNC001198)". The record is from RNAcentral. Lineage: Eukaryota; Viridiplantae; Streptophyta; Magnoliopsida; Lamiales; Oleaceae.
CACCAUUCCAAAAUCCUUCGCCGUCUACUUCUAUUCUCACAUAUCUUCUUCAUCUAAACUAGCAAUGUGUAAUUAUUCUCCCAUUUUCUCUCUACCAUCACCGAGAACAGCCUCAACUUGAACAAUCACUAUUUUGAACAACCAUUCAAGAAACCAAUGUUUUGAACUUUAGAACGCAUAAAGUUUUACUUUGCUUCUUUGUCUAUAUGUUAUGUUUUCCUUCCUAUAAAGCAAUUGCUGCAAUUUCUAAUUUGUCUUUUGAGGAGGUAGCGAUGAUUUGUUUAUGUAAUGAAUAGCAAUAUGCAUUCUUGAAAAUCUCUCACCUACCGGGUUGUGUAGUAUGGCAAGAGUGUGUAAGAAUUUGGACAUUGGAAUCAAGUAAUGGCCAUGAAGUUAUGCUAAUUUGAAGGUUAUGCUUUGUCUUAAAUGCAGUGAACUAAGAAUGAAGGUUUGUAGUUCAAAAGUAGAAAGUGUUGUUACUUUUGCUUAUACUUUUU